GGAACCCGUGCGGCGGCGCUGGGAAGAGACUGUGCCCCUGCAGCUCCCCUGUCACCGGCUCCAAGGAGCGUCGGGCUCCCCCCGCCCAGCCCUGCAGCACCCAUCCGGCAACGCCAGACUCGGCGCAACGGGGGCAGCUGCGACUUUAAAUCUCUCAGAUCCGCGGCCUGAGGGCUGCCGCCACCGAGAAAUGGAGGCACAGAGCUGUGAACAAGAGACCACGGCUCGCCGAAAUGGCGGUGCCAGGAGCCUGAAAGGGAAUGCAGCCGGCGGGGUUGUCAAGGACAACAUUUGUUUUGGCGCAACCAGCGGUGCCGUCACCAAGAAACCGUCGACUCUGAGAAAAAAAGAGAAGUUCGGCUACCGAGAAACUCCGUGCAGCAAGUGCUGUGACAGCAAAACCGCCGGCUUCGCGCCGCUGGCGAAAGAGCCAACGGAAACGCCGGGUGCUGCGACCGCGAAGCCGGCACUAGAGGGCCUCGGAUGGAGAAAGCCCCGCACCGAGACGAGGAAACUGUGCACAGCACGACUAGCAGUUGACACAAACAGAAAAGUGUCUCGUCUGCUCUCUGGGAGAAAGCGUGGAUCAAAACCAGCAACUCAGUGGAGAGAACCCCGCAGCCACUGAAGAAGUUGCCCACGUGGCGGUGGGGCCAGAGAAACACCGCGAUUUCGACGACAGCCGUAGGGAUACCACAGAGAAACAUGCGCGGCCACAGAAGUACAUCCAGCUCCGCGCAAUCAGUGGUUCUGCGAUCCAGAAACCGCCAGCUGGGCUAGACUAGAAACUUCUAAAAAACUGUCGUCCCAUAGCAGCUUUCCUAACCACGACAGACAGUCGCCUUUAGAGAGCACCUAACGGUGCUGAGACCGGCCUGGGCCAGCAAAAGCGCAGAGCGGUGCCAGUGCCAAGAAACGCCCGACUUGGUGAAACCAACCUUGUGACCACCGAUUCCACUGGCUUCGCAGGACGCAACGGGCGAAGGCGCGGCGGAGAAACCGCAGGCUCCCUUCACCGAUUAUGCUGCGGGCUGGGGAUGGUGGGGGGCACCCGCGAAAUUGUGAAACCAGCGGCGCUGGGACCCAGCGAUCAGCUGCCCGUAGCAAAUGUCUGUGCAGUUGCAAAAGAUAAUUUUUGGCCGUGAGAAGGUUGCCGCCAGAGAGCGUCCGAUAACGCUGACAAAGGCGUGGCGUUGCCAGUGAGAAACAGCCGGCGCUGGGAAAGGAACGGUGCAGCGACCGACCAACUGCGCGCUCGGUGCCACCAAAGUGCUACUGGCUCUACCCACUCUGUCCCCCACGGGCUUAGGGAAGUCUGAUGUCUUUUUCUUUUCUUUUUUCCUCUGUCGCCUAGGCUGGUGCAGUGGUGUCAUCUUGGCUCAGUGCAGCCUCGACUUCCUGGGAUCCAGCGAUCCUCCCGCUUCAGCCUCUAGAGUAGCCGAGACCACAGGAUUUGGAAGAGGGCAGGAGAGAAAAAUGAACUGCAAGACUCCAGCACAAGAGGUGGGAUUGCUGGCAGAUGUCUGCUCCCUCUCCAAACCUAAUGAACAUCUCAAAGUGCCAUCCACUUUCCUAUACCCUUGAUCUGUGAAAUGGAUCACUGACGCUUUCUCUGUCUUUCCGGAAAUGCAAAACAGGUGAAUUUUCAAGCGCUUGAAUUGUCUCUCACACUUUUCAGUCAAGAGUGGGGCUAUAAACUCCUUCCUCAUAGGAAAUAAGGAACUGCCACUGCUUGGAAGUAAAACGUAUUUUUCCCAUAAGCUUUCACAUUUCCCAAAAAAAAUUAUACAUCCAGAUGUAAUCCCCCUAAGAGGCUUACAGACCCUACCAGGAGCGUUCCCACGCGAACGCAUCAUCUCCCAAUCGGAUCCUGAAAACACCAUGCAACCAAUUCCAUCCUUUUCUGGAUCAACCUGGGCAGAGGACAGGUGCAGAGGAGCCCAGAGAAGGGCCUUGACAAGUCAGGAGACCCAAUUUGGGGUCGCAAUUGUCACUCACUCCCCAGGCGUUUGCUUUGAUC
RNAcentral lists this long non-coding RNA (2020 nucleotides) under Homo sapiens (human). Its description in RNAcentral is "non-protein coding lnc-ZNF131-1:18". Lineage: Eukaryota; Metazoa; Chordata; Mammalia; Primates; Hominidae. The record is from RNAcentral.